This 2673-nucleotide long non-coding RNA is filed under the name Homo sapiens (human). RNAcentral describes it as "HSALNT0367305". Lineage: Eukaryota; Metazoa; Chordata; Mammalia; Primates; Hominidae. The record is from RNAcentral.
UAUGAUAGUGCCAUGGUUAUGAGAAGGGUCUGUAGCAGACUGGCUUUGUUUGAACCUGGUUCUACUCACUUUAGCUGAUUAAAUUUGGUCAAGCAAGAUACUCUAUCUGUAGCUCAGUUUGUUCAUCUGUAUUUUACAGAUGAAGAAAAAUAGGUCCUACUUCAUGGUGUUGUUGUGAGAAACAAAUGAGUCCAUGCAUGUAAAGUGGUUAGAAGAGUGACUAGCCCAUAAUAUUAAUAGUAACUUAAGAUUAUGUUUAUGCUUUUCAUGAUUGGACUAUUAGUUUAUUCUAAAACUUAAAAAGUAAUAAAUUGCGUUUACUUAAAUGAGACUAAGUAAAUUUCUUUAUAGCAGUGCCAAAUGGUGUGCUCAUAUUUAGUAUCUUUAUCUGCAGAUCCAUUGUCAUGACUUCUGAGCUGUUUGAAAGAGAAUGUUCUCAGAAUCAAGCCAUUUGGAAUGGACAGAAUGAAACAGAAGUCAAAGAGCUGUCUACACGUCCUUCCCAAGCUAUAAUUAAGAUGGAAGCUCAUUUGCCAUUCUGAGGAUUGGUGCAAUCAAGCAUAUGACAGCAAGAUUUUGGAACAUUUUUAUCAGUUUUGGAACCACAGCUCCUCCAUGGCCAAAUUUCUCUUUAUGUCUCAGGUUUCAGAGCAUGGCCUAAUAUUUCCCGUACAGACAGGCCGCUCCGCUGCCCUUCUGAUUCAGCUGACCACUGUGCACUGUAGCGACGUGCAAGGGGUAGGAGUGGACACAUUCCAGCUCGCUGGGGUUUGGAACGGCACCUCUCAUUCCCAGAGAAGGGAUUCUCUGUGGAGGCUGAGUUGGCAGUGCUCAAGCUUGCCUUGCGGUUGGCACGUAGGCCAUCAGCAAUCAUCUGAGUAUCAACCUGCCAAGCUGAGGCCGUCCUGGGGCACAGAGAUUUAUUGCUAACAGAGGAAAGAAAAGAAACCAUUUCCUUAAUUCUGCUUUGCAGGCCACUCUCAUGGAAAGGAACUCCCCUGCUGCCCUGAUCAGUUCAAUAUCUAACUCAUCAUGCCUGUGUUCUUCCCCAGCAGCUCAGGCCGGUCUGCUACCAGGAACAGGUGCCAAAUCAGAGUGUGGAAUUUUCCCAGCAGGCCCCAGGGUGUGUUGCUGCCAAGGCAACUGUGGUAGGGUUGGGGAAUAACUAGCGAACCACAAAUCCAGAAAAGGAAGAGGAGGCCUCCUUUUCGGCUUGGGCCAACUCAGAUGUGCCAGUAAAUAUGAAUUGGUUGGAUUUGACUUCUCAAUGAUACACAAUGAUUCUCUACCUGGACUAACACCACAGAGGAUGCCAUAGAAACUUCUGAGAUUUCGAUGAUAAAUAUAAAAAGUUGAAGCUUUGGGGAGCCCAAGCCAGGAAGCUGGAGGUCUGUUUGAAAUCCUGUUGAGCUCCUCCCCUACCUCUGCUCCAGAAACUACAUGGAUAUUAGCAUCAACACUAAUCAAAAGAAUAAGAUCAAGGAUACUGAAGAGCUGCAAUGCAAUAGAUUUCUUUAUCCUUGAUACUUAGAUCUGAGCACAGUUCACUGUUGAGAACUGCACAGUUUGCCUUAACUAGAAAGUGUGCAUUUUCUUAUUUCCUCUCUGGGAUGACAGUGAUCACCAAAAAAUUGUUAUUUAAGAUACUUCAUUUAUUCAAUCAUUUAACAAACAUCUGCUUUGAAUAUCUAUUACCAAGUUCUGUGCUAGGAACAGAAAAUACAAAAUUUCAUAAGAAAUGAUUUCUACCCUUCAAUUGCUCAUUAAAAGAGCUGCUACCACUUCUUCAAAUUUGGUAGUAGUUAUUUCUGUGAGGUCACUGGGUUCAGACCUUAACCUAUCAACUGGAGUGUCUGCUCUAGAGCUAAGUGCUUUGCUGUGGACACUUGCUAUUUUGGGGAUAAGAAGUAUGAUCUCAUCUUCUCUUCGAUGUUUAGCCUAAGGUGAUUCACUUCAUUCAGCUUUAACAUCACUAAAAUGUGAAUUCAUACUAUUAGCGUACUUCUAGUACAAGCUAUAAAACCCAUUACCCAUGUGUAAGGCAUAAUUCUGACAGCCUAAGCUGGAGAAUAUCAUUAGCUAAAGUAGAGUAAGAUUGGGUGAGGUGGUUGUUAAGAGGUUUCUGAAUGAGUCUGAGUCAGGCCUCCAGGGCUAAAUUUAUUAAUGAGUCAUUUUCCUUGCCUAGCAGACACUGUGGCAGAAAGUGAAAGAGGAAGAAGCCAUUCGACGUCUGUUUUUAAAAAUGUGUUCUGUCCCUCAGUCCGCCAAAAAGUCCUCAUCUCCUGAAGCUGCAAGAAGAGACAGAGCCCAGCCUGAUAAUCUGAGGACUGAACUUCAAAGGUCACCCAGCCAAAAUAAUCUACUCUGCCUGCCCAAGUGUGAAGCCUAGUGUGAAACCUACUCCAGAGGUGAAACCCCACCAAGAGAUGAAAACCACUUUGGGAAAUACCUUAUGUCUGAUAUUUUCUUCUUCAUUUUUUGAUAGGACUUUUUUUUUCCUGCUCAAAAGUGACUAUCUGGUAGUACAUUCCCAGAGGAUCCUGGCCAGGUAACAGAGAAGUCUGAAAGGCUACCUUGAGAUAAGUUUUCAGAUACAUGUGCAGAUCCUGCUGGUUUGUUUCAUAGAUAUACAUGUGGCACAGUGGUUUGCUGCACCCAUCAACCCAUCAUCUA